Unclassified non-coding RNA from Macaca fascicularis (crab-eating macaque), 117 nucleotides. It matches the Rfam family "Metazoan signal recognition particle RNA". From Rfam's summary of the family: The signal recognition particle (SRP) is a universally conserved ribonucleoprotein. It is involved in the co-translational targeting of proteins to membranes. The record is from Ensembl. NCBI's taxonomy places the organism in Eukaryota, Metazoa, Chordata, Mammalia, Primates, Cercopithecidae.
GCCAGGCGUGGUGGCCCAUGCCUGUAAUCCCAGCACUCUGGGAGGCUGAGGCGGGUGGAUCACCUGAGGUCAGGAGUUAGAGACUAGCCUGGCCAACAUGGUGAAACCCCGUCUCUA